This is a non-coding RNA of Acanthosepion pharaonis, 113 nucleotides long. The record is from the annotation of a GenBank genome assembly. NCBI's taxonomy places the organism in Eukaryota, Metazoa, Mollusca, Cephalopoda, Sepiida, Sepiidae.
UUACGGCCAUGUCACGUCGAAACACCUUUUCCUGUACAACCACUGAAGUUAAGCAACUUUGAUCCUGGUCAGUACCUAUAUGGGUUACUGCUUAGGAAUACCAGGAGCUGCAA